GGUUUUCAGACGAGAUUUGAAAAUGGAGAGAGAGUUGAUAUUACGGAUGUCUGGAGGGAAGGAGUUCUAGAGUCGACAAAAGGCUCUGAAGCCCAUGGUGGUCAAACAGGUGGGACUGUGAGGUGGAGACAGGAAGAGGACCUGAGAGUGCGAGGAGGGGGGUGCUGAUAUGAAGGAGGUGGGAAAGGUACAGAGUGGCUGGGUUAUGAAUGGCUUUGAAGGUCAGAGGCAGAAUCUUAAAAUCGAUGCGGUAGGUGAGCGAGAGCCGAUAGAGCUGCUGAAGAAUUAGGGUGCUGUGAUUGCUGGAUGGGGUUCUGGAAAUGAUGCGGGCGACAGAAUUGUGGACUAACUGUGUCGAGGGAUUUCUAUGGGAGACCAGAGAGGAGGCAGUAAUCAAUCCGGGAAGUGACCAGUGAGUGAACUAAAAUAGCAGCAGAGCUUGGAGUGAGGGAUGAACGAAGGCGAUUAAUAUAACGCAGAUGGAAGUAUGCUGACCUGGUAAUGUUAAUAAUGUGAGGUUGGAAAGAUAGUGUGCUGUCGAGGAUGACACCCAGACUCUUAACCUGAGGGGAGGGAGAACAGUGAGGUGAUCAAUUGUAAGGAAAAAACUGUCCGAUUUGGCUAAAGUUGAUUUACUGCCAAUAAGAAGAAGUUCUGUUUUAUCACUGUUGAGUUUUAGGAAAUUGUGAGAGAACCAGGCUUUGAUUUUCUUAAGGAAUUCACAGAGGAAGGAGGGAGGCAGGGUAGAGUUGUGUUUGUCAAAAAGGUAGAGCAGGAUGUCAUCCGCAUAGCAGUGGAAAUUAAUAUUGAAUUUACAGAAGAGGAAGUUUGUAGAUAAUGAAGAGAAGGGGGCCUGAAACAGAACCUUGGUGAACACCAGAAGAGAUAGGAAAGGAAUAGGCUUGGAAUGAUUUAAGUUGUAUGAACUGAGUGCAGCCAGAGGUAUGAUUUAAACUAGUGCAGAGGUGUGUUAGUAAUCCCAACUAAAGCCAGUCUAUCUAGGAGGAUAUGAUGAGAAAUGGUGCCAAAGGCCACACAGAGAUCAGGGAGGAUGAAGAUGGUUAAGAGUCCAGAAUCAGCUGCCACGUGAAGAUCAUUGGUGAUUUUACCAAAGCUGUUUCUGUGCUAUGCAGUGGGCAAAAACCGGACUGAAGGUGUUCGUAGAGGUGAUUUACAGGUAGGUGUGUGUGUGGAGGUUAGAUGCAACUGUUUUGUCAAGGAUUUUGGAAAGAAGGUUUAGAAAUUGGACAAAAGUUAUCAAGAUUGUCAGGGUCUGAGCCAGGUUUCUCAAGUAUUGGUGUUAUUGCAGCUGAUUCUAAAGAUGAAGGAACAGCACCGGAGGUCAGUGAUGAAUGAAUGAUGUUAGUUAUCAGGGUGACCAGAGAGGGUAAAUGGGGUUUCACAAGGACAGUUAGAAGAGGGUCUAACUGACAGGUACACUACAGGCCAAAAGUUUGGAAGCAAGAUCAGAUUUGUUCAAAAAAGAUCAUAGUUUCAUAUAUAUAAUUUGCAACAUAUGAACAUGACUAUUGUUAAAAGAGCAACUUAUCAGAAGACAUUUUGACUAUAAUUAUUAGGUAUUUGAGUUAUUGUUGCUUAGACUUUGCUUUCUUUAAAGUAAACUCCUCUGGCUUUAACAACAGCUUGGCAUAUACCAGGCAUUCGUUCCACAAGUUUUUUAAGGUAUGUUCCAGGGAUUGCAUUUCAAGCUUUCUUAAGUUCAUUAAAAAGAGGCUGCUGAUUCGUGGGACGCGUUUUUCUUUCCAAUUCAUCCCGCACAAGCUCAAUUGGAGAAAGGUCAGGAGACUGAGGGGGCCAAACCAUCUUUUGAAGAACACCUUCCUCUUCUUUGUUGUCUAGGUAACCCUGACAGAGUUUGGCAGAGUGCUUAGGGUCAUUGUCUUGCUGCAAAACAAACUUAUGAGCCACAAGUCUGAGUCCAGAUGGAACAGCAUGGUGCUGGAGGAUGGAGUGGUACUGUUCCUUCUUCAUGAUACCCUUUACUUCAAACAAAUCUCCUACUGCAUCACCUGCAAAACAUCCCCCUACCAUGGAACUACCACCUCCAUGCUUAAUUGUGGGUGUAACACAUGGUGCUUUCAGACGUUCACCAGUUUGUCUGCGGACAUAGACUCUGCGUUUUAACCCGAACAGUGCAAACUUGUUUUUAGUCAUCAUAAGUCCAAUUUUUGUGAGCUUUUGCCCACUCAUAUCUUUUUUUCUUGUUCUGUGGACGUAGUAGUGUUUUUUUGCAGAUACACAACCCUUCAGACCAGCCUUUCUCAAACGUCAUUUCACAGUUGUCAGAGAUAUGGGUUUCGACCUUGUCAUGUUGAUUUCCUCCCUUAUUUUUGGUGCUGUCUUUUGCCGAUCUCUCUUACUGGUGACAAUGCUAUGUUGAUCCUCUGCUUUUGUAGUAACUUUCUUUUGUCCAGGUCUUUUUCUAUCAUCAAAACUUCCAGGUUCCUCUAGUCUCUUCAGAGUGUAGUGGACUCCUUUGUUAAACACCUUUAGGCGUUUUGCAAUUUCUCUUUCUGUGUAUCCUUCUUUCCUCAAUGUACAAAUCUGUACUUUUGUUUCUUUACUCAGUUGCUUCUUUCUAGCCAUUUUUGCGAUAGUUUGAAUGCAGUUGAGAUUUAUUAGGAUUGUUGUGUGCAGACUCUCAAAAGCCAAAAAGUUGAAGUGAAUAAUCCAACUGUGAUUUGUUUUUGUUUUGUUUUUUUUUUUGCUUUUGCACUGAAGUUGUGACUCUUGCAAAUGUUUUCAACCCUAAAACUAAGCCCUUAUUAUCUUUUGCUGACAUAUAUUUAGCAAUGGUCUGUUAACAUCAAUGUAUAUCUAAAGGUAAAUGGAGUAAAAUGGUACAUUUCCAUGAAAGCAACAUCUGAUCAUGGAGUAAAUACAUCCCAAAAUACAUAAAACUCAUGCUGGGUUUAAAAAAAAAAAACAUUGUGAACAAAAACUUGAAGUUACUCCCAACUGUUCGGCCUGUAAUGGCCUUGCUUCCAAACUUUUGGCCUGUAGUGAACAUGUCUUGGCUUCAAGAGUAAGAUCUGAAAUUUCAGAAACAGGAGGAAGAUAAAGAGCCAUUAGUUUAUCAUAUCAAUUUACCAGCCACAAUAUUGAUUGAAAUUUCAUGUGAUGUACACAUUUAUUUCAAUAUAUUUUGAUGACAUAUUAAGGUAUAAUCAUGAAAAUAAACUUAAAGAGGAGAUCAGAGCAGCAUCUGAAGCAAAAAUGAUUGUCAUAGAUUUCUGUUUGAGCCACUGAAGUCCCAUGAGGUUGGGCUAUCAACUCCAAAAGAAAGAGGCCACAGAGGAAAACUGCUCACAAAUAACACAAAGAACAUCCUGUAACUAAUGGCUGCAAAGAGCUCCUACAAUAACUCUUAUAUAUCUACAUAUUAGAGUAAUACAAUUAUAAACCAGUCAGCUUUAUUACCAUUCUAUCAUGUGAAUGUCAGAGUGCUUGUUGAGGCUGACAAAUAAUGUAAUUGUCUGAUAUGUCAAGAAUAUCCUGUACAAAUAAAUCUAAGGUGUGAAAACGUGCUGCUUCACCACUCACAGGAAUGAAGACAGAGAAAAGCUGAUAGAAAAAUAACAUGUACCUAAGAAUGGGCAUCAAAACCAGUUUCCGUACAGAACUUAAAAAUCAAUCAUAUUUAAUCUCAUCAACACUUCUGUUGAGGCUCAUGGGUCCCC
Molecule: non-coding RNA, 3701 nt
Organism: Xyrichtys novacula (pearly razorfish)
Lineage: Eukaryota; Metazoa; Chordata; Actinopteri; Labriformes; Labridae
Source: the annotation of a GenBank genome assembly